UGCCUUUGUGUUACCCAUUCACUAUCUCCCACAGUGAAUGUGGUGUCAAAAAAGGCAUAAAAGAACUCUUGCUGAAAAGGUUUCAGGAGGCAGGGUUCUGUACCUUUCCCUCCACAAUGCUGCAAGGACAGAC
Molecule: small nucleolar RNA, 133 nt
Filed under: Pelusios castaneus (West African mud turtle)
Lineage: Eukaryota; Metazoa; Chordata; Testudines; Pelomedusidae
Description: Small nucleolar RNA SNORA13 (ENSPCEG00000000196.1)
Rfam family: Small nucleolar RNA SNORA13
About the family: ACA13 is a member of the H/ACA class of snoRNA that guide the sites of modification of uridines to pseudouridines.
Source: Rfam by way of RNAcentral